UGAGACUACUGAUACCCACACACACAGGUGAGACUACUGAUACCCACACACACAGGUGAGACUACUGAUACCCCCACACACACAGGUGAGACUACUGAUACCCCCACACACACAGGUGAGACUACUGAUACCCACACACACAGGUGAGACUACUGAUACCCACACACACAGGUGAGACUACUGAUACCCACACACACAGGUGAGACUACUGAUACCCACACACACAGGUGAGACUACUGAUACCCACACACACAGGUGAGACUACUGAUACCCACACACACAGGUGAGACUACUGAUACCCACACACACAGGUGAGACUACUGAUACCCACACACAGGUGAGACUACUGAUACCCACACACACAGGUGAGACUACUGAUACCCACACACACAGGUGAGACUACUGAUACCCACACACACAGGUGAGACUACUGAUACCCACACACACAGGUGAGACUACUGAUACCCACACACACAGGUGAGACUACUGAUACCCACACACACAGGUGAGACUACUGAUACCCACACACACAGGUGAGACUACUGAUACCCACACACACAGGUGAGACUACUGAUACCCCCACACACAGGUGAGACUACUGAUACCCACACACACAGGUGAGACUACUGAUACCCACACACACAGGUGAGACUACUGAUACCCACACACACAGGUGAGACUACUGAUACCCACACACACAGGUGAGACUACUGAUACCCACACACACAGGUGAGACUACUGAUACCCACACACACAGGUGAGACUACUGAUACCCACACACACAGGUGAGACUACUGAUACCCACACACACAGGUGAGACUACUGAUACCCACACACACAGGUAAGACUACUGAUACCCACACACACAGGUGAGACUACUGAUACCCACACACACAGGUGAGAGAAAGGGUGGGGUGCAGCACUCAUAGUGCCACCUGGUGGUUACUUUAUGAAUUGCACCCUCUCCCUCGCAUCCCCCCCUCUCCCUCGCAUCCCCCUCUC
Oncorhynchus keta (chum salmon) is the source of this 1002-nucleotide long non-coding RNA. RefSeq lists it as uncharacterized. NCBI's taxonomy places the organism in Eukaryota, Metazoa, Chordata, Actinopteri, Salmoniformes, Salmonidae. The transcript has 4 exons. The record is from RefSeq and is a predicted model, not a curated record.